CACCGGCGGACGGCUCAGUAACACGUCGGUAACCUACCCUCGGGAGGGGGAUAACCCCGGGAAACUGGGGCUAAUUCCCCAUAGGCCUGAGGUACUGGAAGGUCCUCAGGCCGAAAGGGGCUUAUGUCCGCCCGAGGAUGGGCCGGCGGCCGAUUAGGUAGUUGGUGGGGUAAUGGCCCACCAAGCCGAAGAUCGGUACGGGCUGUGAGAGCAGGAGCCCGGAGAUGGACACUGAGACACGGGUCCAGGCCCUACGGGGCGCAGCAGGCGCGAAACCUCCGCAAUGCGGGAAACCGCGACGGGGGGACCCCGAGUGCCGUGGCAACGCCACGGCUUUUCCGGAGUGUAAAAAGCUCCGGGAAUAAGGGCUGGGCAAGGCCGGUGGCAGCCGCCGCGGUAAUACCGGCGGCCCGAGUGGUGGCCGCUAUUAUUGGGCCUAAAGCGUCCGUAGCCGGGCCCGUAAGUCCCUGGCGAAAUCCCACGGCUCAACCGUGGGGCUUGCUGGGGAUACUGCGGGUCUUGGGACCGGGAGAGGCGGGGGGUACCCCUGGGGUAGGGGUGAAAUCCUAUAAUCCCAGGGGGACCGCCAGUGGCGAAGGCGCCCCGCUGGAACGGGUCCGACGGUGAGGGACGAAGGCCAGGGGAGCAAACCGGAUUAGAUACCCGGGUAGUCCUGGCUGUAAAGGAUGCGGGCUAUGUGUCGGGUGAGCCUCGAGCUCGCCCGGUGCCGUAGGGAAGCCGCUAAGCCCGCCGCCUGGGGAGUACGGCCGCAAGGCUGAACUUAAAGGAAUUGGCGGGAAU
Molecule: ribosomal RNA, 801 nt
Filed under: uncultured archaeon
Lineage: Archaea
Description: bacterial SSU rRNA
Rfam family: Archaeal small subunit ribosomal RNA
Source: RNAcentral